AUUGCCCUAGUAACGGCGAGUGAAGCGGCAACAGCUCAAAUUUGAAAUCUGGCUCUUUCAGAGUCCGAGUUGUAAUUUGCAGAGGGCGCUUUGGCGUUGGCAGCGGUCCAAGUUCUUUGGAACAGGACGUCACAGAGGGUGAGAAUCCCGUACGUGGUCGCUAGCCUUCGCCGUGUAAAGCCCCUUCAAUGAGUCGAGUUGUUUGGGAAUGCAGCUCUAAAUGGGAGGUAAAUUUCUUCUAAAGCUAAAUACUGGCCAGAGACCGAUAGCGCACAAGUAGAGUGAUCGAAAGAUGAAAAGUACUUUGGAAAGAGAGUCAAAUAGCACGUGAAAUUGUUGAAAGGGAAGCGCUUGCAGCCAGACUUGCCUGUAGUUGCUUAUCCAGACUUUUGUCUGGUGCACUCUUCUGCGGGCAGGCCAGCAUCAGUUUGGGCGGUUGGAUAAAGGUCUCUGUCAUGUACCUCUCUUCGGGGAGGCCUUAUAGGGGAGACGUCAUGCAACCAGCCUGGACUGAGGUCCGCGCAUCUGCUAGGAUGCUGGCGUAAUGGCUGUAAGCGGCCC
RNAcentral lists this ribosomal RNA (561 nucleotides) under Kwanghwana miscanthi. Its description in RNAcentral is "partial large subunit ribosomal RNA". It matches the Rfam family "Eukaryotic large subunit ribosomal RNA", at positions 74 to 650 of the family's 3401-position model. The record is from RNAcentral. Lineage: Eukaryota; Fungi; Ascomycota; Dothideomycetes; Pleosporales; Phaeosphaeriaceae.